CCCAGACUCCUACGGGAGGCAGCAGUGGGGGAUAUUGCACAAUGGGGGAAACCCUGAUGCAGCGACGCCGCGUGGGUGAAGAAGUAUUUCGGUAUGUAAAGCCCUAUCAGCAGGGAAGAAAGAAGACGGUACCUGACUAAGAAGCCCCGGCUAACUACGUGCCAGCAGCCGCGGUAAUACGUAGGGGGCGAGCGUUAUCCGGAUUCACUGGGUGUAAAGGGAGCGUAGACGGCCGUGCAAGCCAGGAGUGAAAGCCCGGGGCCCAACCCCGGGACUGCUCUUGGAACUGUGCGGCUGGAGUGCGGGAGGGGCAGGCGGAAUUCCUGGUGUAGCGGUGAAAUGCGUAGAUAUCAGGAGGAACACCGGCGGCGAAGGCGGCCUGCUGGACCGCGACUGACGUUGAGGCUCGAAAGCGUGGGGAGCGAACAGGAUUAGAUACCCUUGUAC
This 447-nucleotide ribosomal RNA is filed under the name uncultured bacterium. RNAcentral's name for it is "bacterial SSU rRNA". It matches the Rfam family "Bacterial small subunit ribosomal RNA", at positions 330 to 793 of the family's 1533-position model. The record is from RNAcentral.